RNAcentral lists this ribosomal RNA (1719 nucleotides) under Salmonella enterica. RNAcentral's name for it is "partial 23S ribosomal RNA". It matches the Rfam family "Bacterial large subunit ribosomal RNA", at positions 1101 to 2803 of the family's 2925-position model. Lineage: Bacteria; Pseudomonadati; Pseudomonadota; Gammaproteobacteria; Enterobacterales; Enterobacteriaceae. The record is from RNAcentral.
UUGGCUUAGAAGCAGCCAUCAUUUAAAGAAAGCGUAAUAGCUCACUGGUCGAGUCGGCCUGCGCGGAAGAUGUAACGGGGCUAAACCAUGCACCGAAGCUGCGGCAGCGACACUGUGUGUUGUUGGGUAGGGGAGCGUUCUGUAAGCCUGUGAAGGUGUGUCGUGAGGCAUGCUGGAGGUAUCAGAAGUGCGAAUGCUGACAUAAGUAACGAUAAAGCGGGUGAAAAGCCCGCUCGCCGGAAGACCAAGGGUUCCUGUCCAACGUUAAUCGGGGCAGGGUGAGUCGACCCCUAAGGCGAGGCCGAAAGGCGUAGUCGAUGGGAAACGGGUUAAUAUUCCCGUACUUGGUGUUACUGCGAAGGGGGGACGGAGAAGGCUAUGUUGGCCGGGCGACGGUUGUCCCGGUUUAAGCGUGUAGGUGUGUGUUCCAGGUAAAUCCGGUUCACUUUAACACUGAGGCGUGACGACGAGGCACUACGGUGCUGAAGCAACAAAUGCCCUGCUUCCAGGAAAAGCCUCUAAGCAUCAGGUAACAUCAAAUCGUACCCCAAACCGACACAGGUGGUCAGGUAGAGAAUACCAAGGCGCUUGAGAGAACUCGGGUGAAGGAACUAGGCAAAAUGGUGCCGUAACUUCGGGAGAAGGCACGCUGACACGUAGGUGAAGUGAUUUACUCAUGGAGCUGAAGUCAGUCGAAGAUACCAGCUGGCUGCAACUGUUUAUUAAAAACACAGCACUGUGCAAACACGAAAGUGGACGUAUACGGUGUGACGCCUGCCCGGUGCCGGAAGGUUAAUUGAUGGGGUCAGCGCAAGCGAAGCUCCUGAUCGAAGCCCCGGUAAACGGCGGCCGUAACUAUAACGGUCCUAAGGUAGCGAAAUUCCUUGUCGGGUAAGUUCCGACCUGCACGAAUGGCGUAAUGAUGGCCAGGCUGUCUCCACCCGAGACUCAGUGAAAUUGAACUCGCUGUGAAGAUGCAGUGUACCCGCGGCAAGACGGAAAGACCCCGUGAACCUUUACUAUAGCUUGACACUGAACAUUGAGCCUUGAUGUGUAGGAUAGGUGGGAGGCUUUGAAGUGUGGACGCCAGUCUGCAUGGAGCCGACCUUGAAAUACCACCCUUUAAUGUUUGAUGUUCUAACGUGGACCCGUUACCCGGGUUGCGGACAGUGUCUGGUGGGUAGUUUGACUGGGGCGGUCUCCUCCUAAAGAGUAACGGAGGAGCACGAAGGUUGGCUAAUCCUGGUCGGACAUCAGGAGGUUAGUGCAAUGGCAUAAGCCAGCUUGACUGCGAGCGUGACGGCGCGAGCAGGUGCGAAAGCAGGUCAUAGUGAUCCGGUGGUUCUGAAUGGAAGGGCCAUCGCUCAACGGAUAAAAGGUACUCCGGGGAUAACAGGCUGAUACCGCCCAAGAGUUCAUAUCGACGGCGGUGUUUGGCACCUCGAUGUCGGCUCAUCACAUCCUGGGGCUGAAGUAGGUCCCAAGGGUAUGGCUGUUCGCCAUUUAAAGUGGUACGCGAGCUGGGUUUAGAACGUCGUGAGACAGUUCGGUCCCUAUCUGCCGUGGGCGCUGGAGAACUGAGGGGGGCUGCUCCUAGUACGAGAGGACCGGAGUGGACGCAUCACUGGUGUUCGGGUUGUCAUGCCAAUGGCACUGCCCGGUAGCUAAAUGCGGAAGAGAUAAGUGCUGAAAGCAUCUAAGCACGAAACUUGCCCCGAG